UACGGAGGGUGCAGGCGUUAAUCGGAAUUACUGGGCGUAAAGCGUGCGCAGGCGGUUUGUUAAGUCUGCUGUGAAAUCCCCGAGCUCAACUUGGGAAUUGCAGUGGAUACUGGCAAGCUGGAGUACGGUAGAGGAAGGUGGAAUUCCCGGUGUAGCAGUGAAAUGCGUAGAGAUCGGGAGGAACACCAGUGGCGAAGGCGGCCUUCUGGACCAGUACUGACGCUCAUGCACGAAAGCGUGGGGAGCAAACAGG
This 253-nucleotide ribosomal RNA is filed under the name uncultured bacterium. RNAcentral describes it as "partial 16S ribosomal RNA". It matches the Rfam family "Bacterial small subunit ribosomal RNA", at positions 524 to 776 of the family's 1533-position model. The record is from RNAcentral.